This 315-nucleotide small nuclear RNA is filed under the name Jaculus jaculus (lesser Egyptian jerboa). RNAcentral's name for it is "7SK RNA (ENSJJAG00000003415.1)". It matches the Rfam family "7SK RNA". From Rfam's summary of the family: 7SK was discovered as an abundant small nuclear RNA in the mid-70s but a possible function has only recently been suggested. Two independent studies have found that 7SK RNA binds the CDK9/cyclin T complex (known as elongation factor P-TEFb). Lineage: Eukaryota; Metazoa; Chordata; Mammalia; Rodentia; Dipodidae. The record is from Rfam by way of RNAcentral.
GGAUGUAAGGGCAUGGCUGUGACGUGUGUCACCCCACUGAUGUCAGGCUUGAUUCGGCCGAGCUGGCUGGCUAGGCGGGUGUCCCCUUCCUCCCUUACCGCUCCAUGUGCGUCUCUCCCAAAGCUGUGUGCUCUGUCAAAGAGAACGACCUUCCCUGAACAAAGGAGGACUAGUCUCUGGUCAAGGGUAUAUGAGUAGCUGUGCUCCCUUUCUAGAACCUCCAAACAAGCUCUCAAAAUGAGCCUGGAGUAACUUAUACUACCAGGAAGUAAAGGAAUGCUCAAAAAGCAGGGGGCAGGGGCGAGGCCAUAGCUC